UGACCAAUCAUAGAGGGAGAGAGGAGCUGGGGUGGGCAGGGUGAGGCAGGAAGGGCCGGGCAACUUCCCUCCCCUCCCCAGCCCUGCCUCGAGCUGACACCAGGAAGUUCCAGGGCCUGCAUCUGCAGAUGGUGCACGGCUGCGUGUGGCUCUGGACUAGAGCUUCCUCCGGGGACACUUUCAGUCCGCCUACCACAGGGGAGAUUUCACGUCCCCGAUUCAGGACCUACAGACCUGGACAGCCGCACAAACUGCAGCUCAGAGGAUGAAUCGCACCUGGGAGAGGUUCUGGAUUGCGGAGGCCACAAGAGAACCCCUGAUGGGUCACUGCACUAGGUGGCUGCUCAGAAGCGAGAGCUUGGCAAAGAGACGCUGCUGCGGGCAGAACCACCUUCCAAGCUCAUGCUAACCAUCGUGGGAACCAUUGCUGGCUUAGCACUAUUUCCUGCUCUGGUCCUUGGAGCUGUGAUCUGCAAGAUGUUCUCAGAGCAAGGUUGAAGAAAAAAAGAGAAAACCAGAUUAUUUUACUGUAGAACGCAUGAACCAGACACUCAAGCAGCUACUGAAGGAAUAUUGCCAAGAAACUCAUCUGAGACAGAAUCAAGCCUUGCCUAUAGUCCUCCUCUGAGUCAAGUGCACCCCCACCAAACAAACAAAGUAUUUACCCUAUAAGAUUUUGUUCCGUCAGCCACCGUCAAAUUAAAAGUGAUCUCCAAGAACUAAAAGAACUAAUCUUAAUAAAGCAAAUGCAGGCUUUAGAAACAGCCAUGCAAAGUGUUCAUAGUUAAGUACAUAAAAGAAUGCCUAGAAGUCUAACAGACCCAGAACACCCCUUUAAACCUAGUAGCUUUAAGUUGAAAAGUAGAACCCAAUUUCUCUAAGACCCAUGUAAGAUAAGCCCCAUACAGUAAUCUUGUCCACUCCCACUGCUGUUAAAGUUGCAAGAAUGGUGCCUUUGAUCCAUCACAGUCGGCCAAAAUUGGCAGCUCGGGACAAGUGAACCAGCCAGCAACAUCCAGAUCAUCCAACCCAGCUGAUCCUGAGACAAGACCAAGCUGCUGCUGAAGAUGACAGCCCUGCUCUGGUCACUCCGGAGGCUGACCAGUCUACGCACGGCUGAAGUUUGAAGGAACAACAAGCCUUGCUCUAGUCACACACUGGAAGCUGACUAGUCUACACACAGCUGAAGCUUAAAGACUCAUCAAGCAAGGAUGAGUCUAAAUGUAGUUAGAAAUCUUAAGACUAGUAGUUUUCCUGUAAUACUGUUUUCCUAUUGUUCUGUCACUGCUCAACCUCCUCCCCCAAGUAAAGACCUCUUUUGUCCUUGCUAGAUUUAAA
Long non-coding RNA from Symphalangus syndactylus (siamang), 1338 nucleotides. RefSeq lists it as uncharacterized. Lineage: Eukaryota; Metazoa; Chordata; Mammalia; Primates; Hylobatidae. The record is from RefSeq and is a predicted model, not a curated record.